Brienomyrus brachyistius is the source of this 365-nucleotide long non-coding RNA. RefSeq lists it as uncharacterized. The transcript has 2 exons. NCBI's taxonomy places the organism in Eukaryota, Metazoa, Chordata, Actinopteri, Osteoglossiformes, Mormyridae. The record is from RefSeq and is a predicted model, not a curated record.
GCGGAAGUGCUUCUCGGAAACAAAGGACUAGCAGCUAGCGGACGGAUAGUUACGCUCAGGCAUCGAAAUGCUGAAGUUAUGCACGUUAAUUGAUAAGCAGUUGUUGCGUUACGUCUACACUGAAUAACACGAUCUUCACCUUUAAACGUGUAAGCGGUUCUUUUCUUCACGUGUGAAUAGAGACCGGAAAUCCCCACACACAAAGGCUAUGGGUACAGCGAGGUGCUCACCUAAAACUGUGUCGUCAGAACUGGAGAGCAGUAAGCUGCGGAAAGCCACUUCUAUCAUAACCGCAAAUGCUUUGUCGUUAAAACAUCCCGAAUCUGCCAAGUAUUGAAGACCUUCUUGCACAAACUCCGACAGCU